AGAAGCUGAAAUCAAACCAGAUAUGGAAACAAGGGGCAAGAAAAUGCUAGAACUGUGUAAAGGUAUACCAGGGGCAAUUAUAGCACUUGCAAACUUAUUAGCACGUAACGAUGCAAGUGAGAGGGAGAUCAUGCUGAAAAAUGCCAGAUCAUACCUAUCCCAAGUUAUGACUCCAAGUUAUGAUGAUUUGCCGGAUGAGUCAAAACUAUUUUUUCUGUACUUGGGCCAUUUUAGGGAGGAUCUGGAAAUAGAAACAGAGAAGUUGUCUCACUUAUGGACAAUUGAAGGUUUGAUAUCACCUCGGGAGUGUGGAAGCAAGAUGACACUCUUGGACUUAACUCAAAAGAAUUUAAGGGUUCUAGCACAGAAGGACAUGAUAGAAGUCCAAGAAAUGAAGGAGUCCUGCCGUCUUGUUGGACUAAUGGGAGAUAUGUGCGUCGCAAAAGCAGAAGAGAGUGGCCUUUUGAAGGUCAUCGAUUUGCGAACAGAAGAAAAUCUGUCUUCAUUUUCUUUUAGCAAAACACGUCGUCUAGUCAUUUAUCAAGGGAAAUAUGAUGGUCAUGGCAAGCUCCAACACCGAAACCUUCGGAGUCUUCGAAUCGUUAAGUCAGAUGAGCAGCAUCAACAACUAGACUUUGUAUGGCCCUGGUUCAUAAUGUCGGAUAUUAAGAAACUGCAUGCACUAAGGAUUCUUGAUUUUGACAGGAUGGACUUUCCAGAAGGGAAACUACCGGAAGAUAUUUUUGCUCUAACACUCUUGAGGUAUCUGAGCUUCAAAGGAUGUUUCAUCAAGGAAUUGCCGUCAUCUAUCAGCAACUUGACAUACUUGCAAGUCCUUGAUUUGAGAAUCAAUGAUUUAUGCAAGAUUGUCAUUCCUAAUGUGUUGCGGAGGAUGGGAAGAUUGCAGCAUCUCUAUCUUCCGCGAACAUUUGAGAUGCAAAAUGGAGAAAAACUUCGAUUGGAUGCGUUGUCAGAGCUUCAAACAUUAAAGAACUUCACGCCGAAGGUGUGUGAAAUUCGUGAUCUCUUCAAGUUGGCCAAACUACGGUACUUCUAUGCCAAGGUUGAAGAGAGCCCUGAGGACCUUAAGGAAAUAAUCGACCGUCUAAAACAUGAUUCCAAGAAAUGGAGGUGUUCUUCCCUUGAAAUCAAAAACUUUGACUGUUAUACUGAAAAAAGGCAUAAUCUUUUUCGGGACUUACUAGCUUCUGGGAGGUCACCAAAACUGUUCUUUGAGGGUUAUAUCGAUCAGCUGCCACCACGCAAUCAGAUCUCCAAUGAAUUUACAAUGAUAGUCCUUAGCAGUACUCAACUUAAGGAAGAUCCAUUGGCAACUUUAGGGAAGCUCCCCAAACUAAGGCGUCUAGUACUCCAGGAUGAUGCUUUCACUGGGACAAAGAUGGUCUGUUCUUCUUUAAGUUUUCCCGAACUCAGACAAUUAGAAUUCUCAACUUUGUUCUCUUUGGUGGAAUGGAGGGUGGAAGAUAAGGCCAUGCUCCUGCUUUCUCAUAUCAAAUUUGAGAACUGCAUGCAACUAGUUCUUCAAAAUGAUUUAUCAUUUCUUGAUACACUUCAAGAAAUCAAGAUGAAAAAGAUGCCUGAACCAUUUACAAAAAGGCUUCAUGAUAAAUUUGGCAAACAGGGAGCUGACCAAACUGAUUAUUGGCCUGUCUUAAUUUAGACAAAAUAGAGAUCAGCCCAUGUAAGUACUCGUCACACGCACGGCUGACACUCGUGCAGUCCGCAUAGAGUGCAUCACUACCGGAGCCAAGGAUCCACGGAGGCAGCCCUUCAUAUUUGCCGCCGACAGCUCCUCCAGCAUACAAAAGGUUUCCUUUCGAGGAUGAAAAAUUGCAAGCGCCAGAAGCAAGCAGGGCAUUAGCAUCGAAUGAUAUUGUAAGCAGCCAACAAGAAGCUCCUCAUAUUAUGGUUGAUCCUAAGUUCAAUGAUCUAGAGGGUUGGUUACAUGUUAACGUGAACCUAGUAGUUUCUGUAUAUAUAUUAAGGAAUCCACUAAAUGUCUAUGAGUAUUUGACCAUAAAUUCAGUUAUUAUUGUAGUAAGUAUUAACUUGAGGUCACUGCAACCUAUAAAUUUCAAAUCAUGGAUUCGUCUA
Molecule: non-coding RNA, 2115 nt
Organism: Nicotiana tabacum (common tobacco)
Lineage: Eukaryota; Viridiplantae; Streptophyta; Magnoliopsida; Solanales; Solanaceae
Source: RefSeq, a predicted model, not a curated record